GACGAACGCUGGCGGCGUGCCUAAUACAUGCAAGUCGAGCGAAGUUUUUCUGAUGCUUGCACUCGAAAGACUGCGCGGGGAGCGGGUGAGUAACACGUAUAGAACCUGCCUCAUAGACGGGGACAACUAUUGGAAACGAUAGCUUAUCCCGUAUAACAGUAUUUCGCGCAUGUCAGAUGUUUAAAAGUUUGUUAUGCUAACACUAUGAUAUAGCUUUGCGGUGCAUUAGCUAGUUGGUGGGGUAAAGGCCCACCAAGGCGACGAUGCAUAGCCGACCUGAGAGGGUGAUCGGCCACACUGGGACUGAGACACGGCCCAGACUCCUACGGGAGGCAGCAGUAGGGAAUCUUCCGCAAUGGGCGAAAGCCUGACGGAGCAACGCCGCGUGAGUGAAGAAGGACUUCGGUUCGUAAAGCUCUGUUGUUAGGGAAGAAUGGAUAUGUAGUAACUAUACAUGGAAGAGACGGUACCUAACCAGAAAGCCACGGCUAACUACGUG
Molecule: ribosomal RNA, 499 nt
Filed under: uncultured bacterium
Lineage: Bacteria
Description: partial 16S ribosomal RNA
Rfam family: Bacterial small subunit ribosomal RNA
Source: RNAcentral